GUAGGUGGCAAGCGUUGUCCGGAAUUAUUGGGCGUAAAGCGCGCGCAGGCGGUUCUUUAAGUCUGAUGUGAAAGCCCACGGCUCAACCGUGGAGGGUCAUUGGAAACUGGAGAACUUGAGUACAGAAGAGGAAAGCGGAAUUCCACGUGUAGCGGUGAAACGCGUAGAGAUGUGGAGGAACACCAGUGGCGAAGGCGGCUUUCUGGUCUGUAACUGACGCUGAGGCGCGAAAGCGUGGGGAGCAAACAGGGAUUAGAUACCCUGGUAGUCCACGCCGUAACGAUGAGUGCUAAGUGUUAGGGGGUUUCCGCCCCCUUAGUGCUGCAGCUAACGCAUUAAGCACUCCGCCUGGGGAGUACGGCCGCAAGGCUG
This 372-nucleotide ribosomal RNA is filed under the name uncultured organism. RNAcentral's name for it is "partial 16S ribosomal RNA". It matches the Rfam family "Bacterial small subunit ribosomal RNA", at positions 527 to 896 of the family's 1533-position model. The record is from RNAcentral.